This 455-nucleotide ribosomal RNA is filed under the name uncultured bacterium. RNAcentral's name for it is "bacterial SSU rRNA". It matches the Rfam family "Bacterial small subunit ribosomal RNA", at positions 30 to 483 of the family's 1533-position model. The record is from RNAcentral.
AUUGAACGCUGGCGGAAUGCUUUACACAUGCAAGUCGAACGGCAGCACGGGGCAACCUGGUGGCGAGUGGCGAACGGGUGAGUAAUACAUCGGAACGUGCCCAAUCGUGGGGGAUAACGUAGCGAAAGUUACGCUAAUACCGCAUACGAUCUACGGAUGAAAGCGGGGGAUCGCAAGACCUCGCGCGAAUGGAGCGGCCGAUGUCAGAUUAGGUAGUUGGUGGGGUAAAGGCUCACCAAGCCAACGAUCUGUAGCUGGUCUGAGAGGACGACCAGCCACACUGGAACUGAGACACGGUCCAGACUCCUACGGGAGGCAGCAGUGGGGAAUUUUGGACAAUGGGCGCAAGCCUGAUCCAGCCAUUCCGCGUGCAGGAUGAAGGCCUCGGGUUGUAACUAGCUUUGUAGACGAAAGUACCUGGUUAAGUAACCUGGGGCUCGAUGACGGUACCGUAA